AACGAACGCUGGCGGCAGGCCUAACACAUGCAAGUCGAGCGAGGACUUCGGUUCUAGCGGCGGACGGGUGAGUAACGCGUGGGAAUGUGCCCUUCUCUACGGAAUAGCCCUGGGAAACUGGGAGUAAUACCGUAUACGCCCUAUUGGGGAAAGAUUUAUCGGAGAAGGAUCAGCCCGCGUUGGAUUAGGUAGUUGGUGGGGUAAUGGCCUACCAAGCCGACGAUCCAUAGCUGGUUUGAGAGGAUGAUCAGCCACACUGGGACUGAGACACGGCCCAGACUCCUACGGGAGGCAGCAGUGGGGAAUCUUAGACAAUGGGGGCAACCCUGAUCUAGCCAUGCCGCGUGAGUGAUGAAGGCCUUAGGGUUGUAAAGCUCUUUCAGCUGGGAAGAUAAUGACGGUACCAGCAGAAGAAGCCCCGGCUAACUCCGUGC
This 434-nucleotide ribosomal RNA is filed under the name uncultured bacterium. Its description in RNAcentral is "partial 16S ribosomal RNA". It matches the Rfam family "Bacterial small subunit ribosomal RNA", at positions 29 to 508 of the family's 1533-position model. The record is from RNAcentral.